RNAcentral lists this long non-coding RNA (5320 nucleotides) under Sus scrofa (pig). RNAcentral describes it as "lncRNA (ENSSSCG00040008646.1)". The record is from RNAcentral. Lineage: Eukaryota; Metazoa; Chordata; Mammalia; Artiodactyla; Suidae.
UUUGUGCUCCUUCUCUCCCCUAUCCUGCCCUGCCCCCAUGAGGAAGAGUUGAGACUGGAUGGAGACAGAGGGUGGGGAAGUUUUUCUCAUAAUUUGGAAGCCCAUGAAAAUCUCUAGACCUCCAGGCCUUGGAUGACUGUCCUCACUCCUGUUCCAUGUGGAGAAUCCCAGAAUCUAACCAGCCCCAUGGCCAAGUGAGUAGAAUUUUGUUUGGCUUUCAUUUCAUCUGUAGAGUCAGCUCUGACAAGAUCAGACCAGCGAAGACUCUAAAGCCCCAGGGUGCCUAAAUCUGUGCUUUCAAUUGAGUGCCUCAGGGCCUAGGUAACAGCAGCCCUCCUAGCUGGGUAUUUCUCUGAGUUGAUUUCAGAGCCCUGUCUCUCUGAAAUCAACCUUAUCAAUAUUAUCAAUUCAGAGGUUUUGGUGUUCCUAACUGGCUGUAUGACCUCAGACAAGUCAUUUAACCUCUUUAAAUCUCUGUUUUCUCAUCUGUACAAUAAGAACAAACACAGGACUAUUGUGUGGAUUAAAUAAGAGGACAGCCAAGGUAAUAAAGCAUUUAUCUCAGUGCCUGACACACAAGCAAUGCUCAAUAAAUACUAUAGCCUGUAUCAGUAAGGAUUCUUCUAGUUUAAGUGAUGGAAGCCCAGUCUGGAUCCAGGAGUUUAUCCAAGGUCCUUACUCUGGAAUUUCUUUAAAUUACUUGGCUCUGUAUUUCUCUGAUUUAUUUCGUUCUUGGGCAGACUGUCCUGUAAGAUGGCAGGAGGGAUGAUGAGACAUCCUUCUGGCCAAGCAACCACAGAAAAAUAGAUUCUCAGAGUUUCCUGAAAUCCCUGGAAUGGAGUUUCAUUGGUCUGGUUGGAUCACAUGUCCAGCCAAAGGAUGGAAUGCUCCAGUUGGCCAAGCCUAGGUCCUGUGUCUCUGUAGGCUGAGAGUAAGAGAAGUCAGGUCUUGAAAAGGAAGUGGAGGAGCUGUUUUCAAAAGGAGGAAGAGAUGCUAAGAAGGAAAAAAGAAAAUUAUUUCCACUAUAGAGGCUAUUGUUCUAUUAUUAUAAUUUACUAUUUAUUUUGUACUACUAGUACUGCCACUAUUCCCACUAACUAGUUCCACUACUAUUACACUGUAUAACUAGCACAAAAAUUUGGAAGAUUAUUCAGUGAACAACUGGACUAACAGGCAGGGAAAAGGGAGAAAUCAUAGAAAGCUAUGACAGGAGAAAAAGGAUCCUGCAUAGAAGGAAAUAAAACGAAAGCAGUCUUAACAGUAUGAAAACGAAGUGAAAGCAAAGCCUGAAAUGGUGAGUUCUAGAGGGUUGUUUUAAGCAUUUUUCAAAAACAAAAGUGGGAGUUCCCUGGUGGCCUAGCAGUUAAGGAUCUGGUAUUGUCACUGCUGUGGCAUGGGUUUCAUCCCUGGCUAUGGGUGCCGCAAAGAAAAAAUCCAAAAACAAUCAAACAGGAGAAACCCCAAAGUGAUCUAAAUAACAGCAUGUAAUAUAUUUUGUAGUUGCUAAACUGAAAGCACUUCACUGUGGUUGUUUAUAUAAUGCUUUAAUGGCCACACAAAGCAUGCAUGUUGUAUGCUUUAAGCACUGUACACCUGUAGUUUCAGCACCAGCAUGGGUAUUUAUGAAGCAGGCCAACAACAUUCCCUACACUGGAAGGCUGUGUCCACAACACCUUGUUGCAGACACAGUCAGAGAUGCAUUUUUUCACAUAGGAAACACAUGUGUGAUGUGGGGAAUAGGUAUGAGAUAUGUGUAACGAAUUUCUGGCAGGAAGUGCAGGGGCUGCAACUUCAAAUGAAACAUUGUAUAUAUAGCAUUUGGCAAUACUACAGUAUCCUUGAAUGAAUGGCUUACUGAAGGAUUAGUAAUGUAUACCAGUAUAUAAAUAUACAGAGAAUGAUACUGGUGAAAGCUGCAACCCUGAACUUGAAUUUGAAUCUAUCUACAUUUUCCAUACAACAUAUGCUGUCAACAGAAUGAUCGCUACUAAGUUGUGCUGCACAGAGCCCUGGAAGGAUUUUGCACAUUGCCUGUUUUUAUAGACUAAAAUUAUGUUCUCAGAAAUUAAUUUUUGUCUUAAACAUUAAUAAAAUGUUAAAACUAAUAUGUAUAUGAUGUGCUUAAAGCCAAGCCUCUGCAUCAAGAACAACUGUACAACUGCAGCUGAAGCUGGUUAUUUGGGCCACCUGGGAUGCCUCACCUGAGGAGCAGCCAGAUCACAUUGGCUGAUGCCCAUCUGAGUAUAAGAAGUAGGCUGGCUGGUCCAAGUAAUCCUUCAGUUCAAAGUAGGUAGAAUAUAUGUUUUCUGUUUGUUUUGGUUUUUCAAAAAGACUAUGAAAUGGUUAGACCACAUGGUUUUGUGUAACAGUUUUUAUGAGAGCAAAACACAUAUCUAAGGUGAACACUUCAGACAGCCUUGUUGAGUAUUUUCUUAAUGAUACAGUAAUGUUCGGGAGAAACUAGUCAAGUAGUAUUUUGAAGUCUGAUAGCCUCACCAAACAGAAAAGAAUAAUAUAACUUCAUAUUUCUAGAUUUUAUUACACUUUCCAGACCACUUGAAAUGUAGUAAUUCUCUCAACCACCCCACUGGCAGGUACAGCUGACACCUAAUUCAGUGACCAUUCCACUCCUGCACACUCUUUUCCAUAAUAACACAAACAGAAUGGGAACAUUCUUCACCAGUGUUGAGAAAAGAGUCAUUUGGUUUUCUAAGGCUUUUUUUCCCCCCUUGAAUAUUUUGAAGGGUGGUGUAGACCAGAUUAAAAAACAUGGCUCAGAGAAGCAAGAAUUCAUUCCCCCAAGUGUUUAUUAAGUGAAUCACAAAUUCAUUCAGCAUGACUGCUAACCCAGAAAAAUUAAGGCAAAAUGGUAACAAGCUGUGAGCCUCUAAGUAUCUUCAAUUUUAGGAUCUCCCUGGGAAAGGGUCACAAGUGUAAUCCUUUUCAGCUGUCCUUGCCUUGCUUCCGCUGUCAGUGGAAAUAUCCAGGCAGGAUGAAUACACUUUCUGACUAGACUCUGGACUGACCUAGACAGUUUUUUUGGAAAUUCAGGAUUUACUUUUCCUAAAGCCUCUUAAUUUCUCCCAUCCCUCCCUAAUUGAAAACAUCAUCUCUCCCAUUACAGCAUGUGGAAAGUGAGGGGAGGGAGAAGCAGACGGUAUCUGAAUUCAAGAUAAAAAUUACUUUGUGAGUUUAUUAUUCCCAUCCAUAACAGAUGACAAUUUUCAUGUCAUUUAGCUGAUUCUAGAACAGAAUCACCCAGAGAGAUAUUAAGUACUAUUUUUCAUACUAUUUAUCUUGAAAGCCCCAAUGAGACAUGUACACCUACAUUUAAUGACUGAUGAUCCAUAGCAUGCAUAUUUCCUGGAAAUGUUUGGAUAUUUUGUCACGUGCAGCUAGUCAUUAUUUCAUUGGCCAUACAUGAAUUACGAUCCUUCGCAUAUAUUGUGGUGGGUUCCAAAAACUUAGACUUCCUCCAGUGUCUGAGAACUGUCUGGAGAUCUUGGUUCUAAAGAAAUUUGUGGAUUUGUAGUUUCUGAAGUAACUCUAUUCCUCAUUUGUUGGGCGACAGUUAACUUUCACACCAUAGCUCUCUCAUCAGCUCUAAAAUAGGCUCAGCCCUCUCUAAUUUGGAACUCUUUUUGAAACUCUAAGAUGAUGUGUCAUUUCAAGUGCAAAACAGCAAAAAUGUUAUGGAUAUGAGUGGAUGCUAAGGUCCCAAAGACUUUCAAUAGGCUAUAGCUCCCUAGUUGCUGACAUCAGCAGUGUGGUUCUUAUUAAAUAGCUGGGUUUCAGACUGUGACCCUUUCAAGCAGCAUUUCUACUUUAUAUAAAGAACCUGGAUUCAGUGCAGUUUAUGCUGAGUUAAUGGACAAGAUUUGGAAUGAAUCUUUCUCUCUGCCAUUUGUACAAAUUCGUGAGAUGCCUCUGGUCCACUAGCCCAUUUCCAGGGACUGAGCUAAAGUUCAAGAAUCUGACUCUGUCAUUCAUCAGAACUGAAAUUGUCUUUCAGUGGUUAAUACACCCAGUUAGCUCCACAUUUAUUCAGGAAGAUAAAUUAGAACUUUCUAAGGCAAUAGCUAAAGGAAAUCACAAGCAUCACUAAUGACAAAAAGAGCAUUUAGGUAGAAACAAAGCAGUCUACCCAGCAACAACUUGCUUUCGGUAUGAACUUUUUAGAGAAUGCAUCAUUAUUUGGAUGGGGAAAGAUACAGCCUAAAUAGUUCAUUUACUAAUAAAGUCCCCUUGAAAAUUGCCUCUGUUUAGAAAAUACUAAUCCAACUAAGUCAUGCUCUUGGUUAAAUUAUUUAUAGGCCCCAUCUCCCAUAACCUUCACAAUAGUGCUGUGAGGUAGGUACUCUUACUGGUCCAUAUUACAAAUGAUGAGAUGAGGAUGUAGAGAAGUUAAAUAACUUGCCCACCAUCACACAGAAAGUAAGUGGCAGAGGUGGGAUGUGAAAACAAUGCUGAUUGAUUUUAAAUGCUCUUAACCAUUCUGUUACACUGUCUUGAUGGUUGGACAAACCCCCUGUCUCCAUGGCUAAAACUAAAAAAGAAGUAGUAGUUGUGAUAGAAUAUUUCACUUUUCACUCAGUGUGUCAUCUGUGGCUACCCUUUCCUCCUCCUGGACUCCUACUUGCCAGUCUUCUAAUAGCAUUCAAAUUUUUAUUUGGCAAAUCUCCUUGUGCAUUUAUUCUCUUUUUCUUUGCAUUUGCAUGAUGCAUAUUUCAUAUCAGCCAUGAAAUGUCCAAGAGAGAUCUCUGCAUGGCAAAGUUGGAAGGAGCCUUUGCACUUUGGUUUGUUUGUGAUCUUGACACAUACUGCAAGUCCUAAUGGGGCCUCCUGCCAUGUAGAAGUCACCAGUUUGCCAACCCCAAGAUUUCUUGGCCCUCUAGAAGCAUAUUUCUUAUUUCCUCACAAGAGCAAAUUAAGGCUUCAAAGCAGAAUCCAAUUUUGUGAUUUUUAUGCCUUUUAGGAUGAUGGUAAACAAUUUUUACUCUUUGAAAAAUGUGUAAAAUAAGAUAUUGUAUUUUGAUGGAGUAUUGAUGGAGUUCCCGUCAUGGCUUAUGUUAACGAAACCGACUAGGAACCAUGAGGUUGUGGGUUUGAUCCCUGUCUUGCUCAGUGGGUUAAGGAUCCAGCAUUGCCGUGAGCUGUGGUGUAGGUCGCAGACGCGGCUCCGAUCCCGAGUUGCUGUGGCUCUGGCGUAGGCCGGCGGCUACAGCUCCAAUUAGAUGCCUAGCCUGGGAAUCUCCAAAUGCCGCAGGUGCGGCCCUGGGAAAGGCAAAAAGACAAAAAAAAAAAGAAAAAAAAAAAAAAA